RNAcentral lists this ribosomal RNA (301 nucleotides) under uncultured bacterium. Its description in RNAcentral is "partial 16S ribosomal RNA". It matches the Rfam family "Bacterial small subunit ribosomal RNA", at positions 509 to 808 of the family's 1533-position model. The record is from RNAcentral.
CAGUAGCACGGUAAUACAGAGGGUGCAAGCGUUAAUCGGAAUUACUGGGCGUAAAGCGCGCGUAGGUGGUUUGUUAAGUUGGAUGUGAAAGCCCCGGGCUCAACCUGGGAACUGCAUCCAAAACUGGCAAGCUAGAGUACGGUAGAGGGUGGUGGAAUUUCCUGUGUAGCGGUGAAAUGCGUAGAUAUAGGAAGGAACACCAGUGGCGAAGGCGACCACCUGGACUGAUACUGACACUGAGGUGCGAAAGCGUGGGGAGCAAACAGGAUUAGAUACCCGCGUAGUCCCUGUCUCUUAUACA